Molecule: ribosomal RNA, 253 nt
Filed under: uncultured bacterium
Lineage: Bacteria
Description: partial 16S ribosomal RNA
Rfam family: Bacterial small subunit ribosomal RNA
Source: RNAcentral
UACGUAGGGUGCGAGCGUUAAUCGGUAUUACUGGGCGUAAAGCGUGCGCAGGCGGUUUUGUAAGACAGGGGUGAAAUCCCCGGGCUUAACCUGGGAAUGGCAUUUUGAACUGGCAGUCUAGAGUGUGUCAGAGGGGGGUGGAAUUCCACGUGUAGCAGUGAAAUGCGUAGAUAUGUGGAGGAACACCAAUGGCGAAGGCAGCCCCCUGGGAUAACACUGACGCUCGUGUACGAAAGCGUGGGUAGCAAACAGG